Molecule: ribosomal RNA, 171 nt
Filed under: Aeromonas dhakensis
Lineage: Bacteria; Pseudomonadati; Pseudomonadota; Gammaproteobacteria; Aeromonadales; Aeromonadaceae
Description: partial 23S ribosomal RNA
Rfam family: Bacterial large subunit ribosomal RNA
Source: RNAcentral
AUCGAUAACCGCUGAAAGCAUCUAAGCGGGAAGCGAGCCCUGAGAUGAGUCAUCCCUGACCCCUUGAGGGUCCUAAAGGGCCGUUGGAGACCACAACGUUGAUAGGUGGGGUGUGUAAGCGCGGCGACGUGUUGAGCUAACCCAUACUAAUUACCCGUGAGGCUUAACCAU